Molecule: long non-coding RNA, 129 nt
Organism: Bufo bufo (common toad)
Lineage: Eukaryota; Metazoa; Chordata; Amphibia; Anura; Bufonidae
Exons: 3
Source: RefSeq, a predicted model, not a curated record
CACUAUUCUUCUGUUACAUCAGGUCUUAUACUCCAGUCACCUCCAGAGCUGCAGUCACUAUUCUUCUGUUACAUCAGGUCUUAUACUCCAGUCACCUCCAGAGCUGCAGUCACUAUUCUUCUGUUACAU